UUGGACAAUACUUUUCUACACUUUUCAUAAACUUGUAAACCAUGUUGUAGAUGUUGACAUUACUUAUACUGGUCUUUAUAUUAGUUUUCUCUUUGACACCCUACUAGAAUUUCCACCCGAAAUCCCAUCUAUGGUGAGAUUUUUAGUUAACCUAAAUUCCUGGUCAUUAUAUUUCUGAACGAAAGUAUGAUUUCGUAUUCUCUCAUUUUGU
Molecule: non-coding RNA, 211 nt
Organism: Schizosaccharomyces pombe (fission yeast)
Lineage: Eukaryota; Fungi; Ascomycota; Schizosaccharomycetes; Schizosaccharomycetales; Schizosaccharomycetaceae
Source: the annotation of a GenBank genome assembly